CUGAAAACAAAGUCAUAAAAACAAGGUUGACAAAAGGUCAGAUUUAAAAACAAUGCUUGUUUAAUAAGACAGUAAGGCUGCGCCUCCAUGCCUUCGUGUACAAGAACGUACCUCGAGCUGGCAGCUGAAUUUUGUGAUAUUUCCACUUGGCUGACACCAUCCAGAAUCAUCUACAGACUAUAUAAACUACUCCAAACAGCUACAAGCCUUGGACUUGCUGAAAGCUGAUAUGAACCAGUCCAGUCGACGUGAUUGUUCUCUGUCUCUUCAGCUGGUGGGAUUAACACACACCCCUGGGUGUGCCUAUGAUGCUGUUUUCUGAGAGAUUUAGAUUCAAUACGACCAUCCGGCUUACUUCCCUGCUGCCGUGAACACCCCUGGCAUGAUGGGCUGCAUCACCAAACAGCCAAAGGAAACCUUCGUUCCUUCUACUCAGGAAGAAUUCUUAGAAGUAUGCUUACACCUCUUCGUCCUUCCGUCAGGCGUUG
This is a non-coding RNA of Peromyscus maniculatus bairdii (prairie deer mouse), 488 nucleotides long. The record is from RefSeq and is a predicted model, not a curated record. Lineage: Eukaryota; Metazoa; Chordata; Mammalia; Rodentia; Cricetidae.